RNAcentral lists this small nucleolar RNA (133 nucleotides) under Monopterus albus (swamp eel). Lineage: Eukaryota; Metazoa; Chordata; Actinopteri; Synbranchiformes; Synbranchidae. The record is from RNAcentral.
CUGCACUGCUCGUUACCUGGUUCAAUCCGCAGUGUGAACUUCGGGUUCUAUUCCAGUGCUACAGUGAACUCCAGUGAGGCAGGGGAGCAGUGCCUCUCUGUGCUGGCUCCCUGUUCACUCACUGGGAACACAG